CCAUCCAAUCACGGCCUGUUGCCAAGCAGUUUCUGUUGUCAGCGGCCAUCUUGGCAUGACCUUUUCACCUCAGUGGCCAUCUUGGCAUAAACUUUUCACCUCAUUCCACCACCUCUGUCUAUAUCAAAAUACUCUGCUUACAUACGAUGCAAUGGAGAAAGGACAUGUGUGAUGAAGGCAAGCUGAAAUUUUUGGGAGCAAUGAUAUGAAAUAAUAUAAAUAAACUUUAAUGAGACACCGUGGAGAACAGAUAAAUGGUCUUGAAGAAAUAUAUCGAAUCAUACUAACACAUGAACCUGUGUGCAAUGGGCAGUACAGAACAAAAACAGAUUCAUGAAGUGAACUAACCUGAAGCAACACUGUAGGAGUCUCAUCCAACAGAAGUACUGUCGGAGAAAUCUGAUAGUUAUAUGACAAGCAGCUGAAGCAUUCUACUCAUUGAACAACAUCUCUUCAUGCCAUUCACUCUCCAGUCUGGAUCCAAUCAUUCUACAUUGUUUGCCUAUAUUAUAGCAUAACUUUAUAGCAUAAAAAUAUAUAUGUAUAUAUGCGUG
Non-coding RNA from Oryctolagus cuniculus (rabbit), 554 nucleotides. NCBI's taxonomy places the organism in Eukaryota, Metazoa, Chordata, Mammalia, Lagomorpha, Leporidae. The record is from RefSeq and is a predicted model, not a curated record.